UGAGGAAUAUUGGUCAAUGGUCGGGAGACUGAACCAGCCAAGCCGCGUGAGGGAUGAAGGUACAGAGUAUCGUAAACCUCUUUUGUCAGGGAACAAAAGGCGCCACGCGUGGCGCUCCGAGUGUACCUGAAGAAAAAGCAUCGGCUAACUCCGUGCCAGCAGCCGCGGUAAUACGGAGGAUGCGAGCGUUAUCCGGAUUUAUUGGGUUUAAAGGGUGCGUAGGCGGCGAGUUAAGUCAGCGGUAAAAGCCCGGGGCUCAACCCCGGCCCGCCGUUGAAACUGGCUUGCUUGAGUUGGAGAGAAGUAGGCGGAAUGCGCGGUGUAGCGGUGAAAUGCUUAGAUAUCGCGCAGAACUCCGAUUGCGAAGGCAGCCUACCGGCUCCAGACUGACGCUGAGGCACGAAAGCGUGGGGAGCGAACAGGAUUAGAUACC
RNAcentral lists this ribosomal RNA (433 nucleotides) under uncultured bacterium. RNAcentral's name for it is "bacterial SSU rRNA". It matches the Rfam family "Bacterial small subunit ribosomal RNA", at positions 355 to 786 of the family's 1533-position model. The record is from RNAcentral.